This 402-nucleotide ribosomal RNA is filed under the name uncultured prokaryote. RNAcentral describes it as "bacterial SSU rRNA". It matches the Rfam family "Bacterial small subunit ribosomal RNA", at positions 355 to 774 of the family's 1533-position model. The record is from RNAcentral.
UAGGGAAUAUUAGAAAUGGACGAAAGUCUGAUCUAGCGACACCGCGUGUGCGAUGAAGGCCUUCGGGUUGUAAAGCACUUUUUGGAAGGAUUAGGAAGGAAUGUACUUCCAGAAUAAGUCUCGGCUAACUACGUGCCAGCAGCCGCGGUAACACGUAGGAGGCAAACGUUAUCCGGAUUUACUGGGCGUAAAGCGCGUGUAGGUGGUUCUGUAAGUAGGGCGUGAAAGCUCCUGGCUCAACUGGGAGAGGCCGUUCUAAACUGCAGAGCUAGAGGAUGGUAGAGGGAGGUGGAAUUCCGGGUGUAGCGGUGGAAUGCGCAGAUAUCCGGAGGAACACCAGUGGCGAAAGCGGCCUCCUGGACCAUUCCUGACACUCAGACGCGAAAGCUAGGGUAGCAAACG